AGCGGCGAGCGAAAAGGAAAAAGCCCAAACCCAGCCGUACUUUUGGGGAGUAGAAAUUUCUAUUUCUCAAAAGUACAGCUGGGGGUUGUAAGGCAACAAUAUCCCUCACAUGCGAGAUCUUUAAAGUCGGCUGUAAAAAAAUUAUUUCACGACAUAGAGAUUUGGCAUGUGAGGGAAGAAAGUUACAAAAUGUCUUGUUAAUCGAAUUGGCUGGAAAGCCAGACCCUAGAGGGUAAUGGUCCCGUAGAUAAAAAUAAGACAUCUUUUUUGUUGUUGUUCUUGAGUACUUCGAGACACGAAAAGCUCGGAGGAAUCUGCCGGAACUAACCGGUAAGGCUAAAUACUUUUAGAGACCGAUAGUGAACUAGUACCGUGAGGGAAAGGUGAAAAGCAGCCCGGUGAGGGCGGUGAAAUAGACCUGAAACCAUAUGCUUACAAGGAGUCGGAGCGGACAUCACAUUGUAUGUGAUGCCGCGGAAUUAAGAAGAAACCCGCCCGACACGCAAGACGAGCUUUGCGAGUCGUUGCGGGCGGGGAAUUAAGAAUCAAAGUUUGCAGAAAACUGUGAAGCAAUUUUCUGCUCAUGAUUCCUGAUUCCAUAUUCCUGAUUCUGCGGACAUCGCGCGCAGUGUGAUGUCCGUCACGGCGUGCCUAUUGAAGAAUGAGCCAACGAGUUCUAACGUCCGGCUUGCUUAAGGGGUUUACCCCCGGAAGCGCAGGGAAACCGAGUGUUAAUAGCGCGAAAAUUUUGUCAGACGUUAGAGACCCGAAGCCAAGUGAGCUUGCCAUGAGCAGGGUGAAUCCCGCCGAAAGGCGGGAGGAAGCCCGAACCGAUAUGUCGUGCAAUGCAUCCGGAUGACUUGUGGUAAGAAGUGAAAAGCUAAUCGAACUUGGUAAUAGCUGGUUCUCUCCGAAAGAGCUUUUGGGUUCGCGUCAAGUGUUUCCUAUGGGGGUAGAGCACUGGAAGAUUUGGACAGGGGGAAACCUCACCAAACCUAUCAAACUCCGAAUACCAUAGGUCAGAACUUGGCAGUUAGACUGCGGGGGCUAAGCUCCGUUGGUCAAAAGGGAAACAGCCCAGAUCUCAAGUUAAGGUCCCUAAAUUUACUCUAAGUGCGCUUAAGGCGGUGGAAUUUCUCUGACACUGAGGAGGUUGGCUUAGAAGCAGCCAUCCUUUAAAGAAAGCGUAACAGCUCACUCAGCUAGAGAAUUUGCGCCGAAGAUAAUCGGGGCUAAAGAGUAGUACCGAAACUGAGGAUUCGCCACACCUACUUUGACAUUGUGUCUGCGUGUUGUUUGUAGCUAUUUGUUACAGAGAACGGUAGAUAACCUAAUUGCAGUUUUUCAAAACUGUCAAUGACACAAUGCAACGAUGUCAAAGUAGGUGUGGCGAGUGGUAGGAGAGUAUUCGUAUCUGCUGUGAAGGUGAAGGGGUAACCCACACUGGAGCGAUGCGAAGUAAGAAUGUUGGCACAAGUAACCGCAAUCUCGGUGAGAUACCGAGACGCCGUAAGACCAAGGUUUCCUUGGCGAUGUAGAUCAGCCAAGGGUUAGUCGGUCCUAAGAGGAUGGCGAAAGCCGAACUUAAUGGACACAUGGUUAAUAUUCCAUGACCCCCUCGUUUUUCGAUGGAGUGACGGAGGAAAAAAGUGAAAUCACCUUAUUGGAUUGGUGUUGUUGGCAUGAGAGAUGUUUCCUAGGCAAAUCCGGGAGACUGAUUUGAUUCAAAUCUCGUGUGCAGACAAAAUUUUCCGCUUCGGCGGAAGAGAUUUUCGCGAAGAGCCUUCCUAGAAAAACUUCUAAGUCCACCUUCGGGUGGAAAAGGACGAGGGGACCGUACCGCAAACCGACACAGGUGGUCGAGUCGAGUAGACUAAGGCGAACGAGUGAGAAAUCCCCAAGGAACUCGGCAAAAAAGCAGCCGUAACCUCGGAAUAAGGCUUCCCCUCACAUGCAACAUUUGUAGUAUUUCGUAAUUAAAAUAAAACGCGAAAUAUUAAAAGUGUGGCAUGUGAGGGGUGCAACAAAAGUAUCUCUGGCAACUGUUUAUCAAAAACACAGCUCCCUGCGAACUCGCAAGAGGAUGUAUAGGGGGUGACGCCUGACCAAUGCCAGAAGGUCAAAUAGCGGCGUUUUGCGUGUCUUCGGAUAUGCAAGGUGACUGCUAUAAGCCCUGGUGAAUGUCGGCCGUAACUAUAACGGUCCUAAGGUACUGGGAUUUUCGGAAGAAGAUUUCAGUAGGACUGGGACUGUUAUAGCUAAAGAUAAAUAGUUGAUAUUGAAAUCAUUACGCAAAAAAUAAAACGCUACCUCUCUAUACAGUAAUGUAUAGAUGGUUCCACGGCUCAUAUGAGAGGCCAUACGCCGUGAUUCCAAAAUUGUUUGGAAUAAGACAUGGUCCGGACUUAAGGAAUGUCUGAGCGAAAUUCCUUGUCGGGUAAGUUCCGACGCGCACGAAUGGCGUAAUGACUGGAGAACUGUCUCGGGGAUCCGCUCGGUGAAAAUACAAUACCGGUGAAGAUGCCGGUUACCUGCAGAUAGACGAAAAGACCCCGGGAGCUUUACUGCAACUUGGUAUUGAGGAUAUGUUUUACAUGCGUAGCAUAGGUGGGAGACUUUGAAUCGCUGCUUUUGGGUGGCGUGGAGUCGUCAGUGAAAUACCACUCUUGUGUGAUGUAUUUUCUAACCCCGACGGAAAAAACGUCGAGAGACAUUAUCUGGUGGGCAGUUUUAGUGGGGCGCUAUCCUCCUAAAAAGUAACGGAGGAGUCCAUUAAGGUCAGCUAGGCGCGAAUGGAAACCGUGCCGAUAGUGUAUAGGCAUAAGCUGGCUUAACUGUAAGGCGUACAUGCCAAGCAGAUGCGAAAGCAGGGCUAAGUGAACCGACGGUCCGUAUUAGAUGCGGCCGGAGAUUAUCGGAUAAAAGCUACCCCGGGGAUAACAGGCUAGUUCCGCCUAAGCGUCCAUAGCGACGGCGGAGUUCGGCACCUCGAUGUCGGCUCAUCUUAUCCUGGGGGUGGAGAAGCUCCCAAGGGUUUGGCUGUUCGCCAAUUAAAAAGAUACGCGAGCUGGGUUCAGACCGUUUAUGCGCUGAAGCGCAUUGCGAUACGAAUAUACGAAUGUCAUACGGAUGACACGAAUAAUUCGGCGCAUGGACAGUCUGAAUCCACACAUAACAGACAUAAUCGAGUUUUUCGUUUAUAAACAAAAAUAAAUUAGAUAGAAACAACCAAAUCACGGCGGUCACAUAUAGAAAUAUAUGUGGACAAACUGACUAAUAUCGGUGAAAUCCUGUAUACGAGUGUCUUAACAAAUAGACGCACGAAUAGGACAACACCGAGGGAA
RNAcentral lists this ribosomal RNA (3344 nucleotides) under Candidatus Zambryskibacteria bacterium RIFCSPLOWO2_01_FULL_45_21. RNAcentral's name for it is "bacterial LSU rRNA". It matches the Rfam family "Bacterial large subunit ribosomal RNA". The record is from RNAcentral. Lineage: Bacteria; Candidatus Zambryskiibacteriota.